GCUCGUAGGCGGUCUGUUGCGUCCGCUGUGAAAACUCGGGGCUUAACCCCGAGCCUGCAGUGGAUACGGGCAGACUAGAGGUAGGUAGGGGAGAAUGGAAUUCCUGGUGUAGCGGUGAAAUGCGCAGAUAUCAGGAGGAACACCGGUGGCGAAGGCGGUUCUCUGGGCCUUACCUGACGCUGAGGAGCGAAAGCGUGGGGAGCGAACAGGAUUAGAUACCCUGGUAGUCCACGCUGUAAACGUUGGGCGCUAGGUGUGGGAUCCUUCCACGGAUUCCGUGCCGCAGCUAACGCAUUAAGCGCCCCGCCUGGGGAGUACGGCCGCAAGGCUAAAACUCAAAGGAAUUGACGGGGGCCCGCACAAGCGGCGGAGCAUGUUGCUUAAUUCGACGCAACGCGAAGAACCUUACCAAGGUUUGACAUGCAGGGAAAAGCCGUAGAGAUACGGUGUCCGUAAGGGUCCUGCACAGGUGGUGCAUGGCUGUCGUCAGCUUGUGUCGUGAGAUGUUGGGUUAAGUCCCGCAACGAGCGCAACCCUCGUCCUAUGUU
Molecule: ribosomal RNA, 548 nt
Filed under: uncultured bacterium
Lineage: Bacteria
Description: bacterial SSU rRNA
Rfam family: Bacterial small subunit ribosomal RNA
Source: RNAcentral